Hippoglossus stenolepis (Pacific halibut) is the source of this 1092-nucleotide long non-coding RNA. RefSeq lists it as uncharacterized. The transcript has 2 exons. The record is from RefSeq and is a predicted model, not a curated record. Lineage: Eukaryota; Metazoa; Chordata; Actinopteri; Pleuronectiformes; Pleuronectidae.
CAGUGAGGAGGGGGAGAGGAGGAAGAGGAGGAGGAGGAGGAGGAGGAGAGCAGCCCGGGCUCCAUAACACUGUGACAACACAAUGAAAGAGGAAGAAGAUAACACACACCUCAGAUGAACAUGCCUGUCACUGAAGGAGCUGCCUGGUGCUGACAUGGUGUCCUGCAGAGGGUGAUGAUGGUGCAGACAUCAUCAAAAGGAUGUUGAUUGAUGAUUUCUUUUUUUAAUUGUUACAACAACAACAUUGUUCUCCUCAUUACUCUUUUGACUGCAUAUAUGUACAAACAUCUUUGUUGCAUGAGUUUCAGGUGCUUUUAAUGUCCACCACAUCCCUGUCGAGACAAUGAAAACACUCUCCUGCCUCCAACUAUAUCUUUUUAAAUUCCAGAUGAUAAGUUUUAAGUGUUUACACUUAGAAGCAUUUAACUUGAUUUUAAGAAGAAACUAAGCUGUAUCUGUCACCACGUCCUGGUGGUGUUUAAUCAAAGUGAGUACAGAAUAAAGUUUGGAGGACAUGCUGCCAAAUGCAUUCGGUGGUAGACGGUGCCGCAUACACUCUCAUCUUGUUUUGUAAUUAAUAACCAAAGGAGGCAGGCGCAGCAAGUUUGGCUCUGACGAUGAGGACAAAGUGCAGUGCAAUGUCUGAAAGUAAAACUGACAUAAAGAUGAAGGACAGAUGUCUGUUUUCAAAGAUUCAAUGGUGCUUUGAUAAGUAAAGCAGUUCAGUCUUUAUUCUCCUAUAGGCUUUGUAACACACUCUUAACACAUACUCCUUCAGCCACAAAACAGUUUGAUGUCAUAGAUUAGAAAGAAAGCAACAUGUAAUACUAAAACAAUGUAUAAGAACAAGGUGAAACUUAAGACAGAGAUGUUAAUACAGCACAACAGUGUUGGGAAAUAAGGAUGCUUUUAAUCAAUUCAGACUGCAAAUAAACUGAUUAUUUCACCUAAAACAGAAGCUCAAACCCUUUAUUUAAGAUUAGGUGUGAAUCCGUGUGAAAUAUGUUCGCCUCUUGCCAUACUCUUCUAUUUUGUCUAAUUGUGUAAAUGUGUGAAGCGCUGCGGUCAGACGAGGACCAAGUAGAGCUUCAA